RNAcentral lists this transfer RNA (90 nucleotides) under Candidatus Saccharibacteria bacterium RAAC3_TM7_1. RNAcentral's name for it is "tRNA-Ser (TGA) (tRNA-Ser-TGA-1-1)". It matches the Rfam family "tRNA". From Rfam's summary of the family: Transfer RNA (tRNA) molecules are approximately 80 nucleotides in length. Their secondary structure includes four short double-helical elements and three loops (D, anti-codon, and T loops). Lineage: Bacteria; Candidatus Saccharimonadota. The record is from RNAcentral. RNAcentral also lists the same sequence under 1 other name.
GGAGAGGUGACCGAGUGGUUGAAGGUACCGGUCUUGAAAACCGGCGUGGGGUAAAACUCACCGAGGGUUCGAAUCCCUCCCUCUCCGCCA